Molecule: ribosomal RNA, 491 nt
Filed under: Cutibacterium avidum
Lineage: Bacteria; Bacillati; Actinomycetota; Actinomycetes; Propionibacteriales; Propionibacteriaceae
Description: bacterial SSU rRNA
Rfam family: Bacterial small subunit ribosomal RNA
Source: RNAcentral
CUGGCUCAGGACGAACGCUGGCGGCGUGCUUAACACAUGCAAGUCGAACGGAAAGGCCCUGCUUUUGUGGGGUGCUCGAGUGGCGAACGGGUGAGUAACACGUGAGUAACCUGCCCUUGACUUUGGGAUAACUUCAGGAAACUGGGGCUAAUACCGGAUAGGAGCUCCUGCUGCAUGGUGGGGGUUGGAAAGUUUCGGCGGUUGGGGAUGGACUCGCGGCUUAUCAGCUUGUUGGUGGGGUAGUGGCUUACCAAGGCUUUGACGGGUAGCCGGCCUGAGAGGGUGACCGGCCACAUUGGGACUGAGAUACGGCCCAGACUCCUACGGGAGGCAGCAGUGGGGAAUAUUGCACAAUGGGCGGAAGCCUGAUGCAGCAACGCCGCGUGCGGGAUGACGGCCUUCGGGUUGUAAACCGCUUUCGCCUGUGACGAAGCGUGAGUGACGGUAAUGGGUAAAGAAGCACCGGCUAACUACGUGCCAGCAGCCGCGGU